RNAcentral lists this ribosomal RNA (253 nucleotides) under uncultured bacterium. Its description in RNAcentral is "partial 16S ribosomal RNA". It matches the Rfam family "Bacterial small subunit ribosomal RNA", at positions 524 to 776 of the family's 1533-position model. The record is from RNAcentral.
UACGUAGGGGGCAAGCGUUAUCCGGAUUUACUGGGUGUAAAGGGAGCGUAGACGGUGAUGCAAGUCAGAAGUGAAAGCCCGGGGCUCAACUCCGGGACUGCUUUUGAAACUGUGUGACUGGAGUGCAGGAGAGGUAAGCAGAAUUCCUGGUGUAGCGGUGAAAUGCGUAGAUAUCAGGAGGAACACCAGUGGCGAAGGCGGCUUACUGGACUGUAACUGACGUUGAGGCUCGAAAGCGUGGGGAGCAAACAGG